AUGGGCGCGGACGAGGAGGAGCACCAGUCCCCCGCGCGGAAGCGCGAGCGCGAGGAGGGGGAGGAGCCCGCGGCCGCCGACGAGAAGCACCCGCGCACGGCGGACGAGUCGGAUGGCGCCUCCCUGCUGGGGCUCGCCAACUACGCAGACGAGGAGGAGGAGCACGGGGCCCCGAGGGGGCACGCGAACGGCCGGCCCCGGGAGGAGGAGGAGGAGGAAGACGAUGAGGAUGAGGAGGAGGACGAGAGGAGGGCUCCGGAGAGGCGUCCCAGGCAGGUCGAGCUGCACCGGGACUGCCCCUACCUCGACACCGUCAAUCGACAGGAAUUUGUGAGCUGGAGUUCCAAAAUUUGGAGUUCUCCUGACUUUGAACAUUGCAUUGCCCGCAAAGUGUAG
This 396-nucleotide ribosomal RNA is filed under the name Triticum aestivum (bread wheat). Its description in RNAcentral is "partial small subunit ribosomal RNA". Lineage: Eukaryota; Viridiplantae; Streptophyta; Magnoliopsida; Poales; Poaceae. The record is from RNAcentral.